This 73-nucleotide transfer RNA is filed under the name Arthonia kermesina. RNAcentral's name for it is "tRNA-Asp". It matches the Rfam family "tRNA". Rfam says of the family: Transfer RNA (tRNA) molecules are approximately 80 nucleotides in length. Their secondary structure includes four short double-helical elements and three loops (D, anti-codon, and T loops). Lineage: Eukaryota; Fungi; Ascomycota; Arthoniomycetes; Arthoniales; Arthoniaceae. The record is from RNAcentral.
GAGUUGGUGGUUUAACUGGCAAAACUCUUCCUUGUCAAGGAAGAUAAUAUCGGAUCGUACCCGAUUCAACUCG